Molecule: long non-coding RNA, 786 nt
Organism: Ornithorhynchus anatinus (platypus)
Lineage: Eukaryota; Metazoa; Chordata; Mammalia; Monotremata; Ornithorhynchidae
Exons: 4
Source: RefSeq, a predicted model, not a curated record
AGAAGCUGCUUCCCUGCAUUCUACUGAGAGCAUCCUGUGCACUGUGGAAGGUUUUAAAUGAAGAGAAAGACUGAGUCUAAUUCUUUCUAUGAGGAGAGAAGGAAGCCAGGGGAGGAUGGAAAGAUACGUCACAGCACUGUCAAGGCUACAACCAUUAUGCCACACACUGGAGACUGAUAUGGAACUGGGGCAGGAGCCUCAGCAAGAACAAGCAGCAGCUCCAGGCAGCAACGACAGAGAAGCCAAAGUGGAUAUGCGAUCACAGAGGCGUGUGCAGGGGGGAGGAGACAAGAAGGUCCUGCUCCACUGAUCAAUGUAAGAUCCAAUGUUUAUCCAGGCUACUUAUCCGAGGUGAGCCAGGAAGGCAAAGAAGAUCAACUGAGGUUCGGAUUAUCCCUCUGGGUGGCUCCAUCCCCAUGGUGACCAUUCAGUGUCCUCUCCGUGGACAGAGCAAAUCAACAAUUCAACAGGCUUCAUUUCCAAUUGGGAACAUCUCCUGCUCUUCCCAUUCUGGGUGUUCUUAAGGGCUUGGUCUGCCAAUUUGAUGUGGUUUCUUGCAAAAGAGACUAAUAAGCCUCAGGGACUGGAUGCUUUUUCUAUUUUACUAUUUCAAGGCACAAGGUUAUUGAGACCUAUCUAGUAAUGGAGAACAAAAGCAGAGGAGGAAAUAACUAUUUGUAAACCAAAAAAAAACUUUGGUAACUACAGAAUCUCUGACAUUAGGCUUAUUUGGGUUUCUUGAAUCCCAGAUAAGAUUCUUUUAAAUUUAAUUUCUGUUGACGUGUU